UACUCCUAAUGAAAUCCUAGCCGCCAUUAGCCCUCACCCCACCCUUACCAACACCUACAGCAGCUGAAAACCCCUUUUUUUGCCAACCAAAAUACACGUAACCCAUCAGGAAAAGAAAGAAAGAAGGAAAGAAAGAAGGGAAGAGGGGAAGGGGACCGCCGAGAAGAAGGAGAGGAAGAGGAAGGGAAGCUGUCCGCGCCCUGCACCCGCGUCAGUUUCUCGCUGCCGUGCUGCUUCGCCGUCCAUGGGGAGUCGCCGUCGCUGCCGAUCUGUCACGAGCCGCCAUCGCAAGUCAACGACGAAGAGAGAGAGAGCCGCGAGGAGGAGGAUCGUGCCACCCAGUCACCAUUAUCGUCCUCGUUGCGCCGCCGUCGAGCCCACUGAGCAGAAUCCCAUCGCCGCCGUUCGCACCUCUAUUGCCGUCCGAGAAGCUUCCAUGGCCAUUGCCGUCGAGCUCACAAGUGAGAGAAGAGAGAGUUGCAGGUGAGAGGGAAAGGUGUUGCACCGCCGUUCUUUACUGCGCAGCCACCGCCAUGCCUUGUCGUCGCCAGAGUUGCCACCAUCGCGUGCCACCGCCGCUUUUCACAGUCGAGGAGAAGCCUUGCCUACGCUGCUGCCUUCUGGGCUAGAUUCAUCGAUUAAUGCUACUGCCACCACUGGCUUGCCAUUUCUGCUCGGAUGUGCCCUUAUUCGCCGUUCUGAUUAUUGAAAGGAAAUGUUGUUGAAGCUAUGGCUUCUCCGUUCCCCAUUCUCUUGUUUCUUUUCUGGUAGAGCUGCUGUGUUUGCGGUUAUUACUUUUGCUUGCCAUUCUUCUCCGCUAGCAGAGGGUGCUUGGAAUACAAAUCAUGAUGUAGUUGCUGCAGAAUAAGGUGAAAAGAGGGUUUAUUGCGUUAAAAUAGCUGCGGGUUUGAUUAUUUGAGGAACCGGAUGAAGAAGCAUUAAGAUCAGAAGGGUUAUACUGCGUUUGGUUUAUAUGCUGUU
Non-coding RNA from Arachis ipaensis, 981 nucleotides. Lineage: Eukaryota; Viridiplantae; Streptophyta; Magnoliopsida; Fabales; Fabaceae. The record is from RefSeq and is a predicted model, not a curated record.